Molecule: ribosomal RNA, 445 nt
Filed under: uncultured bacterium
Lineage: Bacteria
Description: partial 16S ribosomal RNA
Rfam family: Bacterial small subunit ribosomal RNA
Source: RNAcentral
GUGAGGAAUAUUGCGCAAUGGAGGCAACUCUGACGCAGCCAUGCCGCGUGCAGGAAGAAGGCGCUACGCGUUGUAAACUGCUUUUAACCGGGAAGAAACCCCAGGACGUGUCCUGGGUUGACGGUACCGGAGGAAUAAGCACCGGCUAACUUCGUGCCAGCAGCCGCGGUAAUACGAAGGGUGCAAGCGUUAUCCGGAUUCAUUGGGUUUAAAGGGUGCGUAGGCGGAGCGUUAAGUCAGUGGUGAAAUCCUGCAGCUUAACUGUAGACUUGCCAUUGAUACUGGCGCUCUUGAGUGCGCUUGAAGUGGGCGGAAUGUGCCGUGUAGCGGUGAAAUGCUUAGAUAUGACACAGAACACCAAUUGCGAAGGCAGCUCACUAAGGCGAUACUGACGCUGAGGCACGAAAGCGUGGGGAUCGAACAGGAUUAGAAACCCGAGUAGUCC